This 652-nucleotide small RNA is filed under the name Symplocos sonoharae. RNAcentral describes it as "eukaryotic LSU rRNA". The stretch from base 255 to 390 matches the Rfam family "5.8S ribosomal RNA". The record is from RNAcentral. Lineage: Eukaryota; Viridiplantae; Streptophyta; Magnoliopsida; Ericales; Symplocaceae.
UCGAAACCUGCCCAGCAGACGACCCGCGAACACGUAUGUAAACCUUUGGCAAGCAAGCAGUGGCCCAAAAGCCUUGAUUGCUGCCCACUGUUGGGGGUUGCGCCCCGAGCCUCCAGAGGCAACGCGUGCACUCCUCGGCAGAUUAACGAAACCCCGGCGCAAACCGCGCCAAGGAACUUUUAAAAAGAGAGCUCGCCCCUGAUGCCCCGUUCGCGGGUGCUAGGGGGGCAGUGGCGUCUUUCACGAAUCCAAACGACUCUCGGCAACGGAUAUCUCGGCUCUCGAAAUGCGAUACUUGGUGUGAAUUGCAGAAUCCCGUGAACCAUCGAGUUUUUGAACGCAAGUUGCGCCCGAAGCCAUUAGGUUGAGGGCACGUCUGCCUGGGCGUCUCACAUCGCGUCGCUCCCAUCGCCCGGCCCCAGUUAGGUGUCGGUGCUUGGGUACGGAUAUUGGCCCCCCGUGCGCUCGUGUGCGCGGUCGGCCUAAAAAUGAGUCCCUGGCGAUGCAUGUCACGACAAGUGGUGGUUGACAAGCCGUUGCGUCCUGUCUUGCAUGCUUCGUCGCCAAGGGUUUCUCCACUGACCCUUAAGUGCCGUCGAAACGGUGCCUCGACCGCGACCCCAGGUCAGGCGGGACUACCCGCUGAGUUUAA